This 497-nucleotide ribosomal RNA is filed under the name uncultured bacterium. Its description in RNAcentral is "partial 16S ribosomal RNA". It matches the Rfam family "Bacterial small subunit ribosomal RNA", at positions 28 to 507 of the family's 1533-position model. The record is from RNAcentral.
GACGAACGCUGGCGGCGUGCCUAAUACAUGCAAGUCGAGCGAACGGACGAGAAGCUUGCUUUUCUGAUGUUAGCGGCGGACGGGUGAGUAACACGUGGAUAACCUACCUAUAAGACUGGGAUAACUUCGGGAAACCGGAGCUAAUACCGGAUAAUAUUCUGCACCGCAUGGUUCAAAAGUGAAAGACGGUCUUGCUGUCACUUAUAGAUGGUUCCGCGCUGCAUUGGCUAGUUGGUAAGGUAACGGCUUACCAAGGCUACCAUGCGUAGCCGACCUGCGAGGGUGAUCGGCGACACUGGAGCGGGAACACGGACCAUACUCCUACGAGAGGCACCAGUAGCGAAUCUUCCGCAAUGGGCGAAAGCAUGACGGAGCGACGCCGCGUGAGUGGUGGAGGUCUUCGGAUCGGAAAACUCUGUUAUUAGGGAAGAACAUAUGUGUAAGUAACUGUACACAGCUUGACGGUACCUAAUCAGAAAGCCACGGCUAACUACGUG